This 253-nucleotide ribosomal RNA is filed under the name uncultured bacterium. RNAcentral's name for it is "partial 16S ribosomal RNA". It matches the Rfam family "Bacterial small subunit ribosomal RNA", at positions 524 to 776 of the family's 1533-position model. The record is from RNAcentral.
UACGAAGGGGGCUAGCGUUGUUUGGAAUUACUGGGCGUAAAGCGCGCGCAGGCGGCUAUCCAAGUCAGUGGUGAAAGCCCGGAGCUUAACUCCGGAACUGCCAUUGAAACUGUUUAGCUUGAGUAUGAGAGAGGUGAGUGGAAUUCCCAGUGUAGAGGUGAAAUUCGUAGAUAUUGGGAAGAACACCGGUGGCGAAGGCGGCUCACUGGCUCAUUACUGACGCUCAGGCGCGACAGCGUGGGGAUCAAACAGG